Molecule: ribosomal RNA, 484 nt
Filed under: uncultured bacterium
Lineage: Bacteria
Description: partial 16S ribosomal RNA
Rfam family: Bacterial small subunit ribosomal RNA
Source: RNAcentral
AUUGAACGCUGGCGGCAUGCUUUACACAUGCAAGUCGAACGGCAGCGCGGGCUUCGGCCUGGCGGCGAGUGGCGAACGGGUGAGUAAUGCAUCGGAACGUGCCCAGUAGUGGGGGAUAGCCCGGCGAAAGCCGGAUUAAUACCGCAUACGACCUGAGGGUGAAAGCGGGGGACCGAAAGGCCUCGCGCUAUUGGAGCGGCCGAUGUCGGAUUAGCUAGUUGGUGGGGUAAAGGCUUACCAAGGCGACGAUCCGUAGCUGGUCUGAGAGGACGACCAGCCACACUGGGAGUGAGACACGGCCCAGACUCCUACGGGAGGCAGCAGUGGGGAAUUUUGGACGAUGGGGGCAACCCUGAUCCAGCCAUGCCGCGUGCGGGAAGAAGGCCUUCGGGUUGUAAACCGCUUUUGUUCGGGAAGAAAUCCUCUGGGCUAAUACCCCGGGGGGAUGACGGUACCGGAAGAAUAAGCACCGGCUAACUACGUG